GGGAAGUUGCCCUGGCCCUGGAGAAAUCUGAUCUGCAGAACUGCACAAAUGCCUCUAUCCCUCUAAGGGAGAUCUCACACCCUGGCAAGGGGGAAUUUGGACACAAACGGACAUACAAGAAUGCCAUGUGACCCUGAAGGCAGAUAUCAGAUGAUGUUUCUACAAGCCAACAAAAUGCCAAAGAUUACCAGCAAACGACCAGAAGCUACGAUCAAGGAAUGGAACAGAUUCUCUCUCAGAGUCCUCAGAAGGAAGAACCCUGCUGAUACCUUGAUCUCAGACUUCCAGCCUCCAAAACUGGGAGAUGAUGCAUUUCUUUCGCUCCAUGAAGAAAGACAGAGGAAUUGAUGUGUGUUCAAGACUUGAGAGCCAUGGAGAGGAGCUGGUAUCACCACUGCCUGCAGCUCAGGCCCAUCACUGCAUCCUUCACUCCACCAUUCCUCACCUGGAUUCACCUCACCCCUGACGUUAGAACCUGAACACGCCUCCGAAACUGGUGAGACAGAGGAGAGAAACUAAGCAUACAGUACCUGUCCUGUCUUGUCAAAGGGAAGCCUGACCUUCGUGAGCACAGAUAAGACUUCAGAAUCCUUCUCAGUUCUGCAUUCCAGGCAGUCACUACCAGUCAGAUGGAACUGACAUUCAAAAUG
Molecule: long non-coding RNA, 650 nt
Filed under: Homo sapiens (human)
Lineage: Eukaryota; Metazoa; Chordata; Mammalia; Primates; Hominidae
Description: HSALNT0404278
Source: RNAcentral